This 253-nucleotide ribosomal RNA is filed under the name uncultured bacterium. RNAcentral's name for it is "partial 16S ribosomal RNA". It matches the Rfam family "Bacterial small subunit ribosomal RNA", at positions 524 to 776 of the family's 1533-position model. The record is from RNAcentral.
UACAGAGGGUGCAAGCGUUAAUCGGAAUUACUGGGCGUAAAGCGUGCGCAGACGGUUGCGUAAGUCAGAUGUGAAAGCCCCGGGCUCAACCUGGGAAUUGCAUUUGAGACUGCGUAGCUAGGGUGCGGAAGAGGGAAGCGGAAUUUCCGGUGUAGCGGUGAAAUGCGUAGAUAUCGGAAGGAACACCAGUGGCGAAAGCGGCUUCCUGGUCCAGCACCGACGUUCAGGCACGAAAGCGUGGGGAGCAAACGGG